This 520-nucleotide ribosomal RNA is filed under the name uncultured Glomus. RNAcentral describes it as "SSU rRNA". It matches the Rfam family "Eukaryotic small subunit ribosomal RNA", at positions 569 to 1093 of the family's 1831-position model. Lineage: Eukaryota; Fungi; Glomeromycota; Glomeromycetes; Glomerales; Glomeraceae. The record is from RNAcentral.
AGCAGCCGCGGUAAUUCCAGCUCCAAUAGCGUAUAUUAAAGUUGUUGCAGUUAAAAGCUCGUAGUUGAAUUUCGGGGUUAGUACGCUGGUCGUGCCUUCGGUAUGUACUGGUGUUACUGGUUCCUACCUUCUGACGAACCGUCAUGUCAUUAAUUUGGUGUGGCGGGGAAUCAGGACUGUUACUUUGAAAAAUUAGAGUGUUUAAAGCAGGCUCGCGCUUGAAUACAUUAGCAUGGAAUAAUGAAAUAGGACGUUCGAUCCUAUUUUGUUGGUUUCUAGGAUUGACGUAAUGAUUAAUAGGGAUAGUUGGGGGCAUUAGUAUUCAAUUGUCAGAGGUGAAAAUUCUUGGAUUUAUUGAAGACUAACUACUGCGAAAGCAUUUGCCAAGGAUGUUUUCAUUAAUCAAGAACGAAGUUAGGGGAUCGAAGACGAUCAGAUACCGUCGUAGUCUUAACCAUAAAACUAUGCCGACUAGGGAUCGGAUGAUGUUAUUUUUAAUGACUCCCUCGGCGCCUUAUCG